UGCCUCAGUAGCGGCGAGUGAAGCGGCAAAAGCUCAAAUUUGAAAUCUGGCGUCUUUGGCGUCCGAGUUGUAAUUUGAAGAAGGUAUCUUUGGGCCCGGCUCUUGUCUAUGUUCCUUGGAACAGGACGUCACAGAGGGUGAGAAUCCCGUGCGAUGAGAUGACCCGGGUCUGUGUAAAGUUCCUUCGACGAGUCGAGUUGUUUGGGAAUGCAGCUCUAAGUGGGUGGUAAAUUCCAUCUAAAGCUAAAUAUUGGCGAGAGACCGAUAGCGAACAAGUACAGUGAUGGAAAGAUGAAAAGAACUUUGAAAAGAGAGUGAAAAAGUACGUGAAAUUGUUGAAAGGGAAGGGCUUGAGAUCAGACUUGGUAUUUUGCAUGCUGCUCUCUCGGGGGCGGCCGCUGCGGUUUACCGGGCCAGCAUCGGUUUGGAGCGGCAGGAUAAUGGCGGAGGAAUGUGGCACGGCUUCUGCUGUGUGUUAUAGCCUCUGACGAUACUGCCAGCCUAGACCGAGGACUGCGGUUUUUAACCUAGGAUGUUGGCAUAAUGAUCUUAAGUCGCCCGUCUUGAAACACGGACCAAGGAGUCUAACGUCUAUGCGAGUGUUUGGGUGUAAAACCCGUACGCGUAAUGAAAGUGAACGAAGGUGGGGGCCCAUUAGGGUGCACCAUCGACCGAUCCUGAUGUGUUCGGAUGGAUUUGAGUAAGAGCAUAGCUGUUGGGACCCGAAAGAUGGUGAACUAUGCCUGAAUAGGGUGAAGCCAGAGGAAACUCUGGUGGAGGCUCGUAGCGGUUCUGACGUGCAAAUCGAUCGUCGAAUUUGGGUAUAG
Molecule: ribosomal RNA, 827 nt
Filed under: Candida albicans
Lineage: Eukaryota; Fungi; Ascomycota; Pichiomycetes; Serinales; Debaryomycetaceae
Description: LSU rRNA
Rfam family: Eukaryotic large subunit ribosomal RNA
Source: RNAcentral